Molecule: ribosomal RNA, 500 nt
Filed under: uncultured bacterium
Lineage: Bacteria
Description: bacterial SSU rRNA
Rfam family: Bacterial small subunit ribosomal RNA
Source: RNAcentral
AGAGUUUGAUCCUGGCUCAGGAUGAACGCUGGCGGCGUGCCUAAUACAUGCAAGUCGAACGAGGUGCCUUUGUAGCAAUACGAAGGUNUCCUAGUGGCGAACGGGUGAGUAACGCGUUGGUGACCUGCCCCAAAGUGUGGGAUAACAGUCCGAAAGGAUUGCUAAUACCGCAUGUGGUCAUCGGGUUUAGAAGCCGAUGACUAAAGCCGCGAGGCGCUUUGGGAGGGGCCUGCGUCCCAUCAGCUAGUUGGUAGGGUAACGGCCUACCAAGGCUACGACGGGUAGGGGACCUGAGAGGGUGGCCCCCCACAAUGGAACUGAAACACGGUCCAUACACCUACGGGUGGCAGCAGUAGGGAAUAUUGCUCAAUGGGCGAAAGCCUGAAGCAGCAACGCCGCGUGCGCGAUGAAGGUCUUCGGAUCGUAAAGCGCUUUUCUGCGAGAUGAGAAAGGACAGUAUCGCAGGAAUAAGUCUCGGCUAACUACGUGCCAGCAGCCGC